GACCGAGAUUGUAAUCUCUAGAAAUGUUUUCCGCGUUGGACCGCACACAAGUCUGUUGGAAUACAGCGGCAUAGUGGUGAGACCCCCGUAUAUGGUGCGGACGCCCAGCGCUUUGUGAUACAUUUUCGAAGAGUCGAGUUGUUUGGGAAUGCAGCUCAAAUUGGGUGGUAAAUUCCAUCUAAAGCUAAAUAUUGGCGAGAGACCGAUAGCGAACAAGUACCGUGAGGGAAAGAUGAAAAGCACUUUGGAAAGAGAGUUAACAGUACGUGAAAUUGUUGGAAGGGAAACGCUUGAAGUCAGACUUGCUUGCCGAGCAAUCGGUUUGCAGGCCAGCAUCAGUUUUCCGGGAUGGAUAAUGGUAGAGAGAAGGUAGCAGUUUCGGCUGUGUUAUAGCUCUCUGCUGGAUACAUCUUGGGNGGACUGAGGAACGCAGUGUGCCUUUGGCGGGGGUUUCGACCUCUUCACACUUAGGAUGCUGGUGGAAUGGCUUUAAACGACC
This 499-nucleotide ribosomal RNA is filed under the name Rhodotorula mucilaginosa. RNAcentral describes it as "eukaryotic LSU rRNA". It matches the Rfam family "Eukaryotic large subunit ribosomal RNA", at positions 135 to 649 of the family's 3401-position model. Lineage: Eukaryota; Fungi; Basidiomycota; Microbotryomycetes; Sporidiobolales; Sporidiobolaceae. The record is from RNAcentral.